RNAcentral lists this ribosomal RNA (370 nucleotides) under uncultured bacterium. Its description in RNAcentral is "bacterial SSU rRNA". It matches the Rfam family "Bacterial small subunit ribosomal RNA", at positions 527 to 896 of the family's 1533-position model. The record is from RNAcentral.
GUAGGGUGCAAGCGUUAAUCGGAAUUACUGGGCGUAAAGCGCGCGUAGGUGGCUUGAUAAGCCGGUUGUGAAAGCCCCGGGCUCAACCUGGGAACGGCAUCCGGAACUGUCAGGCUAGAGUGCAGGAGAGGAAGGUAGAAUUCCCGGUGUAGCGGUGAAAUGCGUAGAGAUCGGGAGGAAUACCAGUGGCGAAGGCGGCCUUCUGGACUGACACUGACACUGAGGUGCGAAAGCGUGGGUAGCAAACAGGAUUAGAUACCCUGGUAGUCCACGCCGUAAACGAUGUCGACCAGCCGUUGGGUGCCUAGCGCACUCUGUGGCGAAGUUAACGCGAUAAGUCGACCGCCUGGGGAGUACGGCCGCAAGGUUA